GUCUUAAUGAUAAUUUUUAUUAAGUCUGGCCUGCUCAGUGAUUUUAAAUUAAAUAGCCGCAGUAUUUUGACUGUGCGAAGGUAGCAUAAUCAUUUGUCUUUUAAUUGAAGGCUUGUAUGAAUGGUUGGAUGAGGGAAUUUCUUUCUUUAUAUUAAAUAUUGAAUUUAAUUUUUUAGUUAAAAAGCUAAAAUUUUAUAAUGGGACGAGAAGACCCUAUAGAAUUUUAUUUAUUUUAUUUAUUUAAUAAUUUUUUGGUUAUUAGUUUUAUAUUAAUAAAUAGUAAAUUUUGUUGGGGCGACAGUGAAAUUUUAUUAACUUUCAUAAUUUAUUAUUUAUUAAUUUAUAUGUUAAAGAUCCUAUUUUAAGGAUAUAUAGAUUAAAUUACCUUAGGGAUAACAGCGUAAUUUUUCUGGAGAGUUCUUAUUGAUGGAAAAGUUUGCGACCUCGAUGUUGGAUUAAAAUUAGAUUUAAGUGCAGCAGCUUAUUUAUCUAGGUCUGUUCGACCUUUAAAAUUUUAC
Molecule: ribosomal RNA, 518 nt
Filed under: Tolumnia basalis
Lineage: Eukaryota; Metazoa; Arthropoda; Insecta; Hemiptera; Pentatomidae
Description: partial large subunit ribosomal RNA
Rfam family: Archaeal large subunit ribosomal RNA
Source: RNAcentral